CUGAACCAGCCAAGUAGCGUGAAGGAUGACUGCCCUAUGGGUUGUAAACUUCUUUUAUAUGGGAAUAAAGUUGUCCACGUGUGGAUUUUUGUAUGUACCAUAUGAAUAAGGAUCGGCUAACUCCGUGCCAGCAGCCGCGGUAAUACGGAGGAUCCGAGCGUUAUCCGGAUUUAUUGCGUUUAAAGGGAGCGUAGGUGGAUUGUUAAGUCAGUUGUGAAAGUUUGCGG
RNAcentral lists this ribosomal RNA (227 nucleotides) under uncultured bacterium. Its description in RNAcentral is "partial 16S ribosomal RNA". It matches the Rfam family "Bacterial small subunit ribosomal RNA", at positions 383 to 607 of the family's 1533-position model. The record is from RNAcentral.